UGUGUUAAGUCUAUAUGAAUUAUUAUUUGAGUACAAAAGUUAUGGUGUUAUUUAAAUUUAUAAUGAUUUUAUUUUCUUCAUCUUAACUUAUUCAAUUAUAUAGUAAACAUUGGAUGUUAGCUGUUAUUAGUCUUUGGAACGGAUUGAUGUAUUGGUUAGAUCCAACAGGAGUAGAAAAUGAAGUUCGACCAUUUGCUAAAAAGAUCAUCAAUGAGUAAGUCUUGAAUGACUAUUUAAUAUUUUAUUACUAAUAUACUAUUUUAUUAUUUGCCUAAACUUGUUAUGAACACAUAGGGGAAUUAUCAAAUUUAGCACGUACCAUCGAAAAGAUAUCAAGAAGAUAAAAAAGAAUCCCGAAAUUAGAUGGAAUCAAAUAGAGUGCCCUCGUCAACCGCUUGGUACUCUAGACUGUGGAUAUUAUGUGUGUCGCUACAUGCUUGAGACGGUACAGUUGAGACGACUAGUUAUUCCUGAUAAGUACUAUCAAGGCAUUGGUCCAAACUAUUCUCAGGAGAAAAUUGAUGAACUCAGGGAGUUGUGGAUUACAUAUGUCGGAGAUCAAUACGAAGCACAAACGAUGAAUGAGUUAUAACUUUCUGCCUAAUUUUUUUAGCCUUAAUCCACUUUUGGACAUACAUUAUAUUUUUGGAUUUGGAUAUUCAAUAUCACGUGGAUGUGGCUAUAUAUAGGAUAGAUUUGAUCUUGUUUAUGAUUUAGAUUAAUAUUGAUAUGUAUAUAUAGUAGUUUUUUUUAGAAGUUUAGAUUUAUGAAUAUUAGUUGAAUUAUUUUGUAAUAUAAAGAAUUUUGAAAGUUUGGAAUAUCAAUUCAAUUUAUUGGUUAAGAUCU
This is a long non-coding RNA of Beta vulgaris subsp. vulgaris (sugar beet), 846 nucleotides long. RefSeq lists it as uncharacterized. Lineage: Eukaryota; Viridiplantae; Streptophyta; Magnoliopsida; Caryophyllales; Amaranthaceae. The transcript has 3 exons. The record is from RefSeq and is a predicted model, not a curated record.